This 519-nucleotide ribosomal RNA is filed under the name Clostridioides difficile. RNAcentral describes it as "partial 23S ribosomal RNA". It matches the Rfam family "Bacterial large subunit ribosomal RNA", at positions 1017 to 1540 of the family's 2925-position model. Lineage: Bacteria; Bacillati; Bacillota; Clostridia; Peptostreptococcales; Peptostreptococcaceae. The record is from RNAcentral.
GGGCAACAGCCCAGAUCGUCAGCUAAGGUCCCUAAAUGUAAGUUAAGUGGUAAAGGAUGUGGGAUUGCACAGACAACCAGGAUGUUGGCUUAGAAGCAGCCACUCAUUCAAAGAGUGCGUAAUAGCUCACUGGUCGAGUGAUCCUGCGCCGAAGAUUUCCGGGGCUAAAACUUACUACCGAAGCUACGGCAUCAGUAAUGAUGGGUAGGGGAGCUUCCCAUACGGGUUGAAGCAUGACCGUAAGGACAUGUGGACAGUAUGGGAGUGAGAAUGUUGGCAUGAGUAGCGAGAUGUGGGUGGGAAUCCCACAGGCCGUAAACCCAAGGUUUCCAGGGGAAGGUUCGUCCACCCUGGGUUAGUCGGGACCUAAGCUGAGGCCGAAAGGCGUAGGUGAUGGACAACAGGUUGAUAUUCCUGUACUACCGAUAACCGUUUGAGAGAAGGGAUGACACAGUAGGAUAAGCUAAGCACACUGUUGGUUAUGUGUGCCCAAGCAUUGAGGCAGUCAAAGUAGGCAAA